Molecule: long non-coding RNA, 565 nt
Organism: Dermochelys coriacea (leatherback sea turtle)
Lineage: Eukaryota; Metazoa; Chordata; Testudines; Dermochelyidae
Exons: 3
Source: RefSeq, a predicted model, not a curated record
GGAGGAAGUGCUGUUGGGGGGAGAGCAAGAGGGUGUGUGUCUGGACCUGCAGAGAGAAGGGCUGCAGCAAGCAGGCCCUCACAGAGUGAAGCAGCCAAGAACCUGCCUGAAGCCUGGGAGGGAGAGAGCAGCCGAUUGGGGACACCGCAGGAGAGGAGCCAGGAGGAGCCCGAGAAGGACAAGCUGGAACUGGACCCAUAUCACUGCUGCCCAGAGCUGCAUGGGGCUGUGCAGAGAAUGCAAGUGACAAGGAGAGAGAGGGUGUGUCUGCCCCUUCCUUUUAUAGUCCCCUGCCCCUUUUGAGAAGCAUCUCCAUCUGGGAGCAAGGUGACAGUCUGACUGUGUGGAAGGACACUCCAUGCUGUUUUGCAUCUAAGAUGUAGAUUUUUGCACCUGGCUCCUUUCCUGCCAAAGAAUGGCCACUGAGCAGAAUCUGGACCUUGACUAUACCUUGACGAAGAAAUUUGGUGGAACUUGACAAAAGAUAAUUGAUUACCCCUGCUGUAGAGCCUCUGUCUCUCUGGAGUUCUGGGUAAACAGCUUUGAAGCAGUUCUUGGCCACUCU